Molecule: ribosomal RNA, 523 nt
Filed under: uncultured bacterium
Lineage: Bacteria
Description: partial 16S ribosomal RNA
Rfam family: Bacterial small subunit ribosomal RNA
Source: RNAcentral
CCUACGGGAGGCAGCAGUGGGGAAUUUUGGACAAUGGGCGCAAGCCUGAUCCAGCAAUGCCGCGUGAGUGAAGAAGGCCUUCGGGUUGUAAAGCUCUUUUGUCAGGGAAGAAACGGUUGGGGCUAAUAUCCUCAGCUAAUGACGGUACCUGAAGAAUAAGCACCGGCUAACUACGUGCCAGCAGCCGCGGUAAUACGUAGGGUGCAAGCGUUAAUCGGAAUUACUGGGCGUAAAGCGUGCGCAGGCGGUUUUGUAAGUCUGUCGUGAAAGCCCCGGGCUUAGCCUGGGAAUUGCGAUGGAGACUGCAAGGCUUGAAUCUGGCAGAGGGGGGUAGAAUUCCACGUGUAGCAGUGAAAUGCGUAGAGAUGUGGAGGAACACCGAUGGCGAAGGCAGCCCCCUGGGUCAAGAUUGACGCUCAUGCACGAACGACGGUGGGGAGGACGAACGAGGAGUUAGUAUACCGUACGGUAGUACCGACCGACCCGUAAACCGAACUAGUCUACUAGUUGUUCGGGUUCGUUA